GAUGAAGAACGCAGCGAAAUGCGAUAAGUAAUGCGAAUUGCAGAAUUCAGUGAAUCAUCGAAUCUUUGAACGCACAUUGCGCCCGCCAGUACUCUGGCGGGCAUGCCUGUCUGAGCGUCAUUUCAACCCUCGCGCCCGGCUUCUGUCGGGGGCGGUGUUGGGGAUCGGCCUCCCGUCUUCCGGGCGGCCGGCCCCUAAAUGGAGUGGCGACCGCGCCGUAGCCUCCUCUGCGUAGCAGUGAAACACUCGCGGGCGGAGAGCGGUGCGGCCCGCCGUAAAACCCCCAACUCUUCUAAGGUUGACCUCAGAUCAGGUAGGAAUACCCGCUGAACUUAAGCAUAUCAAUAAGCGGAGGA
Molecule: unclassified non-coding RNA, 356 nt
Filed under: soil metagenome
Description: partial contains 5.8S ribosomal RNA, internal transcribed spacer 2, and large subunit ribosomal RNA
Rfam family: 5.8S ribosomal RNA (bases 1-120)
Source: RNAcentral